This 393-nucleotide ribosomal RNA is filed under the name uncultured bacterium. RNAcentral describes it as "partial 16S ribosomal RNA". It matches the Rfam family "Bacterial small subunit ribosomal RNA", at positions 523 to 918 of the family's 1533-position model. The record is from RNAcentral.
AUACGGAGGAUGCGAGCGUUAUCCGGAUUUAUUGGGUUUAAAGGGUGCGUAGGCUGUGCGUUAAGUCAGGGGUGAAAUGCCGUCGCUCAACGACGGAGCUGCCCUUGAUACUGGCGUGCUGGAGUACGGAUGCCGUUGGAGGAAUGAGUGGUGUAGCGGUGAAAUGCUUAGAUAUCACUCAGAACACCGAUUGCGAAGGCAUCUGACGAAUCCGUCACUGACGCUGAGGCACGAAAGCGUGGGGAUAGAACAGGAUUAGAUACCCUGGUAUUCCACGCCGUAAACGAUGAUGACUAACCGUCGGCGACAGACAGUCGGCGGCCAAGCGAAAGUGAUAAGUGUCCCACCUGGGGAGUACGGUCGCAAGGCUGAAACUCAAAUGAAUUGACGGGG